GAUGAACGCUGGCGGCGUGCCUAAUACAUGCAAGUCGAGCGAACAGAUGAGGAGCUUGCUCCUCUGACGUUAGCGGCGGACGGGUGAGUAACACGUGGAUAACCUACCUAUAAGACUGGGAUAACUUCGGGAAACCGGAGCUAAUACCGGAUAAUAUAUUGAACCGCAUGGUUCAAUAGUGAAAGACGGUUUUGCUGUCACUUAUAGAUGGAUCCGCGCCGCAUUAGCUAGUUGGUAAGGUAACGGCUUACCACGGAAACGAUGCGUAGCCGACCUGAGAGGGUGAUGGCCACACCGGAAACAGACAAACGUCCCAAACCCCCACGGGGGGCAGAAGGGGGAAACUUCCCGCAAGGGGCGAAAGCCGCCAGGGCAAACGCCGGGGAGGUGAUGAAGGUUCUCGGAUCAUAAAACUCUUUUAUUAGGGAAAAACAAAUUUUUAAGUAACUUUCCCGGCUUUGGCGGUACCAAAUCAAAAAGCCCCGGUAAACUACUU
Molecule: ribosomal RNA, 496 nt
Filed under: uncultured bacterium
Lineage: Bacteria
Description: partial 16S ribosomal RNA
Rfam family: Bacterial small subunit ribosomal RNA
Source: RNAcentral